This 301-nucleotide ribosomal RNA is filed under the name uncultured bacterium. Its description in RNAcentral is "partial 16S ribosomal RNA". It matches the Rfam family "Bacterial small subunit ribosomal RNA", at positions 509 to 807 of the family's 1533-position model. The record is from RNAcentral.
CAGCAGCCGCGGUAAUACGAAGGGGGCUAGCGUUGUUCGGAAUUACUGGGCGUAAAGCGCACGUAGGCGGAUAUUUAAGUCAGGGGUGAAAUCCCGAGGCUCAACCUCGGAACUGCCUUUGAUACUGGAGAUCUUGAGUUCGGAAGAGGUUGGUGGAACAGCUAGUGUAGAGGUGAAAUUCGUAGAUAUUAGCUAGAACACCAGUGGCGAAGGCGGCCAACUGGUCCGACACUGACGCUGAGGUGCGAAAGCGUGGGGAGCAAACAGGAUUAGAUACCCCCGUAGUCCCUGUCUCUUAUAC